This 244-nucleotide ribosomal RNA is filed under the name Salmonella enterica subsp. enterica serovar Infantis. RNAcentral's name for it is "partial 23S ribosomal RNA". It matches the Rfam family "Bacterial large subunit ribosomal RNA", at positions 1 to 236 of the family's 2925-position model. RNAcentral also lists the same sequence under 2 other names. The record is from RNAcentral. Lineage: Bacteria; Pseudomonadati; Pseudomonadota; Gammaproteobacteria; Enterobacterales; Enterobacteriaceae.
GGGUUGUGAGGUUAAGCGACUAAGCGUACACGGUGGAUGCCCUGGCAGUCAGAGGCGAUGAAGGACGUGCUAAUCUGCGAUAAGCGCCGGUAAGGUGAUAUGAACCGUUAUAACCGGCGAUUUCCGAAUGGGGAAACCCAGUGUGACUCGUCACACUAUCAUUAACUGAAUCCAUAGGUUAAUGAGGCGAACCGGGGGAACUGAAACAUCUAAGUACCCCGAGGAAAAGAAAUCAACCGAGAUU